Molecule: ribosomal RNA, 429 nt
Filed under: Gemmatimonadota bacterium
Lineage: Bacteria; Pseudomonadati; Gemmatimonadota
Description: Gemmatimonadetes bacterium partial 16S ribosomal RNA
Rfam family: Bacterial small subunit ribosomal RNA
Source: RNAcentral
UAGGGAAUCUUCGGCAAUGGACGAAAGUCUGACCGAGCAACGCCGCGUGAGUGAAGAAGGUUUUCGGAUCGUAAAACUCUGUUGUUAGAGAAGAACAAGGACGUUAGUAACUGAACGUCCCCUGACGGUAUCUAACCAGAAAGCCACUGCUAACUACGUGCCAGCAGCCGCGGUAAUACGUAGGUGGCAAGCGUUGUCCGGAUUUAUUGGGCGUAAAGCGAGCGCAGGCGGUUUCUUAAGUCUGAUGUGAAAGCCCCCGGCUCAACCGGGGAGGGUCAUUGGAAACUGGGAGAAUUGAGUGCAGAAGAGGAGAGUGGAAUUCCAUGUGUAGCGGUGAAAUGCGUAGAUAUAUGGAGGAACACCAGUGGCGAAGGAGGCUCUCUGGUCUGUAACUGACGCUGAGGCUCGAAAGCGUGGGGAGCAAACAGG